UUGGUUACCUCCCUGGCCUUUGGACCCCCCCCCCUCCCUUCCCCGGACUGAACCCUUUCAAGAAAACCGGGGAAUGAUGGGUUAACCGGCCCCUACGGGGGCCGCUGGGCCGUGAAAACCCGGUUAAUUGCCAUGGGUUGAACCCGGGAAAAAUCCUAACCAGGGAGCUGGAGGGGAACCUGGUGCUGGAUCAUUA
RNAcentral lists this ribosomal RNA (196 nucleotides) under Rotylenchulus reniformis. Its description in RNAcentral is "partial 18S ribosomal RNA". The record is from RNAcentral. Lineage: Eukaryota; Metazoa; Nematoda; Chromadorea; Rhabditida; Hoplolaimidae.